RNAcentral lists this ribosomal RNA (253 nucleotides) under uncultured bacterium. RNAcentral's name for it is "partial 16S ribosomal RNA". It matches the Rfam family "Bacterial small subunit ribosomal RNA", at positions 524 to 776 of the family's 1533-position model. The record is from RNAcentral.
UACGUAGGAGACGAGCGUUGUCCGGAAUCACUGGGCGUAAAGCGCGUGUAGGCGGAUGAGCAAGUCUGCUGUGAAAGCUCCUGGCUUAACCGGGAGAGGUCGGUGGAAACUGCUCGUCUGGAGGACGGUAGAGGCUGGUGGAAUUCCCGGUGUAGUGGUGAAAUGCGUAGAGAUCGGGAGGAACACCUGUGGCGAAGGCGGCCAGCUGGGCCGGACCUGACGCUGAGACGCGAAGGCGUGGGGAGCGAACGGG